CUAGAAGAAUUAAAACUAACACCACUAGAAACUAGAAGAAAAAUAGCACGUAUAACGCUCUUUCAUAAAGCCAUCUAUGAAAGAGUUGCUAUAUCUAUUCCAACGCACAUUAUAAAACAAAGAAGAACUUCGAGACUCCAUCAACCGAAAACUAAAAGAUAUGUACAAAUCAGGCAAAACAAAGAUAUCUACAAAUACAGCUUUUUCCCUAGGAC
Molecule: long non-coding RNA, 215 nt
Filed under: Mytilus galloprovincialis (Mediterranean mussel)
Lineage: Eukaryota; Metazoa; Mollusca; Bivalvia; Mytilida; Mytilidae
Source: RNAcentral